Molecule: ribosomal RNA, 511 nt
Filed under: Penicillium sp. DY115-21-1-M16
Lineage: Eukaryota; Fungi; Ascomycota; Eurotiomycetes; Eurotiales; Aspergillaceae
Description: eukaryotic LSU rRNA
Rfam family: 5.8S ribosomal RNA (bases 163-315)
Source: RNAcentral
UCUGGGUCCAACCUCCCACCCGUGUUUAUUUUACCUUGUUGCUUCGGCGGGCCCGCCUUAACUGGCCGCCGGGGGGCUUACGCCCCCGGGCCCGCGCCCGCCGAAGACACCCUCGAACUCUGUCUGAAGAUUGUAGUCUGAGUGAAAAUAUAAAUUAUUUAAAACUUUCAACAACGGAUCUCUUGGUUCCGGCAUCGAUGAAGAACGCAGCGAAAUGCGAUACGUAAUGUGAAUUGCAAAUUCAGUGAAUCAUCGAGUCUUUGAACGCACAUUGCGCCCCCUGGUAUUCCGGGGGGCAUGCCUGUCCGAGCGUCAUUUCUGCCCUCAAGCACGGCUUGUGUGUUGGGCCCCGUCCUCCGAUCCCGGGGGACGGGCCCGAAAGGCAGCGGCGGCACCGCGUCCGGUCCUCGAGCGUAUGGGGCUUUGUCACCCGCUCUGUAGGCCCGGCCGGCGCUUGCCGAUCAACCCAAAUUUUUAUCCAGGUUGACCUCGGAUCAGGUAGGGAUACCCG